AGUUCACAUCGACGGGGAGGUUUGGCACCUCGAUGUCGGCUCAUCGCAUCCUGGGGCUGUAGUCGGUCCCAAGGGUUGGGCUGUUCGCCCAUUAAAGCGGUACGCGGGCUGGGUUCAGAACGUCGUGGGACAGUUCGGUCCCUAUCCGUCGUGGGCGUAGGAAAUUUGAGAGGAGCUGUCCUUAGUACGAGAGGACCGGGAUGGACAUACCUCUGGUGUACCAGUUGUCGUGCC
Molecule: ribosomal RNA, 234 nt
Filed under: Staphylococcus aureus
Lineage: Bacteria; Bacillati; Bacillota; Bacilli; Caryophanales; Staphylococcaceae
Description: partial 23S ribosomal RNA
Rfam family: Bacterial large subunit ribosomal RNA
Source: RNAcentral